UCAUUGAACCAACCUACCACCCACCUCUGGGUUUUACCGAAUGACUUGCCCGUUUAACGAAUCUAUCAGUUAAACAACUGCAAGUGACUGAAGCUUCGAGAUUAAAUUAUGUGCAACAACAUCAAUGAACUCUUCUGUGUUGAGAUAGAACUCCCUUGAUACUCUGCAUUAACCAAAACUUCCAUGUAAGAAUCAAUAAUAUAGACAUUAUCUAGGACUAACAAAAUAACUGCGAUUGGUCAUUUGAUAUAUGGAGGCUUGGAGCUAGUCGUCGGAAUUGCAUUGUUGAACAUUAAUUAACCAAUAGGAUUGACCAUGAAAACUGGAACCGUCCCUUCUUGGUCCAGUCACGAGGAACAGGUCUGAAAAAAUUCAAAAUAGGAAAAGCUAUAUAAAGCAAGUCAUUCAAACUCGUCUCGUCGCAUAAGUUCUAAUAUUAAAUAAAGCUAUAGCAAGCCUUUAAUUUUUCCUUUCACGUUUCAUCUUAUCUUUCUUCUCAAAACCACGUCUGAUGUCAUAGGCCCAGAACCAAGGAACCAGCAAC
This 544-nucleotide long non-coding RNA is filed under the name Actinidia chinensis (golden kiwifruit). Its description in RNAcentral is "long non-coding RNA (ACHI_LNC003851)". Lineage: Eukaryota; Viridiplantae; Streptophyta; Magnoliopsida; Ericales; Actinidiaceae. The record is from RNAcentral.